RNAcentral lists this long non-coding RNA (2379 nucleotides) under Heterocephalus glaber (naked mole-rat). RNAcentral describes it as "lncRNA (ENSHGLG00100037020.1)". Lineage: Eukaryota; Metazoa; Chordata; Mammalia; Rodentia; Bathyergidae. The record is from RNAcentral.
CACUCUGUUCUUAUUUGGAGAUUGGACUCUGAAUUUUAACACAGUAUUCGUGUACCUGUGUUACUUUGUAAAAAAAAUAACUGUAGCUUCUUAUUUGUACAUACCAAUGUGAAAAUCUAUUCUUUAUGUUGAGAUUACUUUCUAAUCAGGAAGUUUGAGUGCUAUGCAAAUAAUGUAGUGAUUUUGCUUUGCAUGCCAUGUGUAAUAUAUGUAGCCAAAAAUAGAUGAGGUGGCUUGGCUUUUUUUUUUUUUUUUUAAGCAGAUUACUUUAAAGCAAAUAUAAUUCACUUGAAUUUGAGACUGAAGCAGAUGAGUUUUCUGGGUUUUCUGAUAACCUGUAGGAAUGUUUGGAUGUCAGCUAGGCUCAGUGAAUCCCCAGUGUACUGUAAUAAUGGUUAUUUACCUCUGUGCUGUUUUAAUUACCUAAUGUCUGUGUAACUGCUGAUUUGAGUAGUGAUUAUUAGCAUUUGGAUAUUUUAUAACAUAGGAUUUUAGAGAGCACUUUGAAAGAACAUUUUAUUAUGAUGGUGCUAGCUAGGAAAAAAUUGUAAAGAUUGGGAUGGUUAUGUGGAAAAGAGAAUUCUUGGGAGAACCUGCUGGAAGGAAUUUGUCAUCACCUAAGGUAGGACAGUUGUUGAAGGAACUGUUUAUGCCAGUUUUUUUCUUAGCGUCUGGCUGAAUUAUUGAAUGAGAAGUUUAGAGGGUCCUUUAUUUUCAGCCCAUGCUUUUUUUUCUUUUAAAAUGUAGGAUUAGCUUACCUGAUAAUUUUAUUAUGAAAAUCACAUUUUUAUGUAAAUACCAGAUUCAAUAUAAGUUUGAUCUCAGGAGUCCAAAAGAAAUUGUGGUUUCCAGUGUCCUUCAUUUUAUUGACUGGGGUUUGAUCUGUUUCUAGCAGUGUUUGAAAAUUGGAUAGGAAAGGAUACUGUUAUUCACUGUCAUUCUCUUACCUCAGUUAAGCAACACAAUACUCUAUAGCUUUUGAGGGAAACACUGAUUUGCUUCUUUCCCCUGUCUCAUCUCCAGGGCAUGAUGGAAACAGUGCUGAAAGAGAAAUUUAGCAGAUGGUACUUUUCUUAGUAACCUCUGGAAUAAAAGAACUCUGAUAGUUUUUAAAUUGUCAGUCUUUGUGGGAGGUCAGUUUUUUUUCCUUUAGGUUUGUUUUUAACUGUAUUAGUCUAGGGGAUUUUUGCCUUAUGCUGAGGUCAAAACUAGGGCCAAGUACGCUUUUGUCCUUUAUAUUAACCGUAUGUCAUAUUGUAUGUUGUUAUGAGAUGAAUUUCUAUAUAAGAAAAGAAACAAAAAGAAUUGAGAAUCAUUUGUAUUUUGAUUUGGAAAUUAUGAAACAUCACUAUAGUAUGAUCAGACAGAUUUUCAAGAACAAAUGCUUAGACUGACCAAAGCUCACCUGUUUUUGAGUUAGGUGCUUUUGCUGAGCUUGAAUCCAGCCCCUAUUCCUUUUAGUACUGUGUAUGUCUGUUCUUCAAGUUUGUUUCCUGUCAAAUACAUCUUCAGUUCUUGCCCAUGUGCUCCUUGGCAGCUGGGAUACCAACAGCUGUGUAGUCCUCAUGUUGUUUCCUGGUAACCCACAAGUCCACUUUCAAGGCAGACCUAAGCUCAGACCCUGUCUUCAUCUGACAGGAGUUGGUUUUCCCAAACCACAGUGCUGAGAUGCGUAUUUGAUGCAGCUCUUAUUCUUGCAGUGUGUUGUUUCUUUGUGACUCAAGGGUGAACUAAAAUGCCUGUGAACUGCAAACUUAUGAUUGACUUGGUGCAAUAAAGUUCCUUUCUAACCAUUUCUGGUUUAGAAAAUACUCAGCCAUCCUAGAAACUAGCAAUAUUUAUUUUUGCCUCAUUUAUUUUACCUUCAGUUUUAGAUACUUUUUGUCUGUUCAUUUAUGGGUACUAAUCAAAGUCCAUUCUUGUGUAGCUGAAGAGAAUACAUAUUUGGCUACACUGUUCACUGUAUUUUGCUCCCUAUUUUGUCUAAAUGCUAUUGUUUUUCUUUUACAAUGGUAAAAAUGAUUCACUUCCAGUGUGUUACCAUCAAAGAACUAAGGCUUUGCUACUAGUGUCAGCCAUUUACUCUCCCAUUAAUAGGGAUUUUUAAAAAGAGGUUUUUCCCCCCUGAGAUACAAGUUUUAGAAAAUCUUAUAAGAGGGGUGGGUGCAUGUCUUAAUGCUGGGAAGCAGCAACUUUGGGGUUGAAUUUACUUGAAUGGGUUAAAAUUGCAUUGUUAACAGAGCUAGAAAAAUUUACAUAUGAAAAAUGAUAAUAGCCUUACACUGAGUACAAAUAAUACUUAAGCAUGUGAAGAUGUGAUCAUUUGUGAUGUUACUUGUAAAAAAAGUAUAUAUACAUAUCUUUUGAAGUGUUGAAAGG